This 440-nucleotide ribosomal RNA is filed under the name uncultured bacterium. Its description in RNAcentral is "partial 16S ribosomal RNA". It matches the Rfam family "Bacterial small subunit ribosomal RNA", at positions 338 to 795 of the family's 1533-position model. The record is from RNAcentral.
CCUACGGGUGGCAGCAGUGGGGGAUAUUGCACAAUGGGGGGAACCCUGAUGCAGCGACGCCGCGUGAGUGAAGAAGUAUUUCUGUACGUAAAGCUCUAUCAGCAGGGAAGAAAAUGACGGUACCUGACUAAGAAGCCCCGGCUAACUCCGUGCCAGCAGCCGCGGUAAUACGUAGGGGGCAAGCGUUAUCCGGAUUUAGUGGGUGUAAAGGGGGCGUAGACGGCAGCGCAAGUCUGGAGUGAAAUGCCGGGGCCCAACCCCGGAACUGCUCUGGAAACUGUGCAGCUGGAGUGCAGGAGAGGUAGGCGGAAUUCCUGGUGUAGCGGUGAAAUGCGUAGAUAUCAGGAGGAACACCGGCGGCGAAGGCGGCUUACUGGACUGUAACUGACGUUGAGGCUCGAAGGCGUGGGGAGCAAACAGGAUUAGAUACCCGGGUAGUC